GACGAACGCUGGCGGCGUGCUUAACACAUGCAAGUCGAACGGAAAGGCCCUGCUUUUGUGGGGUGCUCGAGUGGCGAACGGGUGAGUAACACGUGAGUAACCUGCCCUUGACUUUGGGAUAACUUCAGGAAACUGGGGCUAAUACCGGAUAGGAGCUCCUGCUGCAUGGUGGGGGUUGGAAAGUUUCGGCGGUUGGGGAUGGACUCGCGGCUUAUCAGCUUGUUGGUGGGGUAGUGGCUUACCAAGGCUUUGACGGGUAGCCGGCCUGAGAGGGUGACCGGCCACAUUGGGACUGAGAUACGGCCCAGACUCCUACGGGAGGCAGCAGUGGGGAAUAUUGCACAAUGGGCGGAAGCCUGAUGCAGCAACGCCGCGUGCGGGAGGACGGCCUUCGGGUUGUAAACCGCUUUCGCCUGUGACGAAGCGUGAGUGACGGUAAUGGGUAAAGAAGCACCGGCUAACUACGG
This 467-nucleotide ribosomal RNA is filed under the name uncultured bacterium. Its description in RNAcentral is "partial 16S ribosomal RNA". It matches the Rfam family "Bacterial small subunit ribosomal RNA", at positions 28 to 506 of the family's 1533-position model. The record is from RNAcentral.